This 362-nucleotide ribosomal RNA is filed under the name uncultured bacterium. RNAcentral describes it as "bacterial SSU rRNA". It matches the Rfam family "Bacterial small subunit ribosomal RNA", at positions 28 to 392 of the family's 1533-position model. The record is from RNAcentral.
GAUGAACGCUGGCGGCGUGCUUAACACAUGCAAGUCGAACGAAGUGGAGAUCUUCGGAUUGAAACUUAGUGGCGGACGGGUGAGUAACGCGUGGGUAACCUGCCUCGUACAGGGGGAUAACAGUUAGAAAUGACUGCUAAUACCGCAUAACCCGCUAAGGUCGCAUGACCUGGACGGAAAAGAUUUAUUGGUACGAGAUGGACCCGCGUCUGAUUAGCUAGUUGGUGAGGUAACGGCCCACCAAGGCGACGAUCAGUAGCCGACCUGAGAGGGUGAUCGGCCACAUUGGGACUGAGACACGGCCCAAAUCCUACGGGAGGCAGCAUGGGGAAUAUGCACAAUGGGGGAAACCCUGAUGCAGC